UAGUUGGUGGGGUAAUGGCCUACCAAGGCGACGAUCAGUAGCGGGUCUGAGAGGAUGAUCCGCCACACUGGAACUGAGACACGGUCCAGACUCCUACGGGAGGCAGCAGUGGGGAAUUUUGGACAAUGGGGGAAACCCUGAUCCAGCCAUUCCGCGUGAGUGAAGAAGGCCUUCGGGUUGUAAAGCUCUUUCAGCUGGAACGAAACGGUACGCUCUAACAUAGCGUGCUAAUGACGGUACCAGCAGAAGAAGCACCGGCUAACUACGUGCCAGCAGCCGCGGUAAUACGUAGGGUGCGAGCGUUAAUCGGAAUUACUGGGCGUAAAGCGUGCGCAGGCGGAUUGUUAAGCAAGAUGUGAAAUCCCCGGGCUUAACCUGGGAAUGGCAUUUUGAACUGGCAGUCUAGAGUGUGUCAGAGGGGGGUGGAAUUCCACGUGUAGCAGUGAAAUGCGUAGAGAUGUGGAGGAACACCAAUGGCGAAGGCAGCCCCCUGGGAUAACACUGACGCUCAUGUACGAAAGCGUGGGUAGCAAACAGGAUUAGAUACCCUGGUAGUCCACGCCCUAAACGAUGUCAACUGGUUGUUGGGGGAGUGAAAUCCCUUAGUAACGAAGCUAACGCGUGAAGUUGACCGCCUGGGGAGUACGGUCGCAAGAUUAAAACUCAAAGGAAUUGACGGGGACCCGCACAAGCGGUGGAUGAUGUGGAUUAAUUCGAUGCAACGCGAAAAACCUUACCUACCCUUGACAUGUCCAGAAUCCUGCAGAGAUGCGGGAGUGCCCGAAAGGGAAUUGGAACACAGGUGCUGCAUGGCUGUCGUCAGCUCGUGUCGUGAGAUGUUGGGUUAAGUCCCGCAACGAGCGCAACCCUUAUCAUUAGUUGCUACGCAAGGGCACUCUAAUGAGACUGCCGG
Molecule: ribosomal RNA, 913 nt
Filed under: uncultured bacterium
Lineage: Bacteria
Description: bacterial SSU rRNA
Rfam family: Bacterial small subunit ribosomal RNA
Source: RNAcentral